Molecule: long non-coding RNA, 286 nt
Organism: Haliotis rubra (blacklip abalone)
Lineage: Eukaryota; Metazoa; Mollusca; Gastropoda; Lepetellida; Haliotidae
Exons: 3
Source: RefSeq, a predicted model, not a curated record
UUAUGCAAAGUGGAAGCGGGAUUCCAACAGAGAAUUCUACAUGGAAGAAGAGAUGACGGCUUGCACAUGGCAAGGAGAACGGCAACAAAGUCGAUCAGUUUGUUUUGCCUCCCAUCACUGGACAUGCUGACCAACACUGGAACCCUUCUGGAGCUGGUCCAGUAAGAGUGGACAGGAUUAUCAGUUCUGCUGACCACAAGAUUCUGGUGCACUGUCAUGACGGUGCCGGAGCAAGUGGUGUGUUCUGUAGCGUCCUGAACAUCAUCACUGCCAGGCUGAAGUUGGA